Long non-coding RNA from Papaver somniferum (opium poppy), 2365 nucleotides. RefSeq lists it as uncharacterized. Lineage: Eukaryota; Viridiplantae; Streptophyta; Magnoliopsida; Ranunculales; Papaveraceae. The transcript has 4 exons. The record is from RefSeq and is a predicted model, not a curated record.
UUCUCAACCUAACGGCGGCUCACUUCUUAGUUUCACCGCCUCACCAAAAUUAAGAUUCUGAUAAAGGAGGAAAAGAAAAGCUGUCAAGCAUUUCCUAAUAGCAGAGCCUUGCAAUUUCUGUAAGCCUACCAGAGAAAUCAGUUUUUGCAAUUGCUGUUGUUGGUAAUUUCUAAUCCUGAUUUGUUAAAAUUGCAUCAUCUUAUGAUUCAUUGUCAGUAGAAAUGGGUAAAUUAGAUGCUGUUGUGAUGUCGAAUUGUUUAGUCACUGUAACAGUGUGAUUUACUUAGGGUUUUAUAAUAGUUGUGAUUUUGGGGGUUGUAUGUAUUUUUUAACCCUUCCACUGAAGAAUACAAAAAUACCUUAAUCACCUAAGGAUGAUUUCUAUGGGAACGCUAUGAUCAAAUCCAUCUGCAAACCAGAUUCAGUCCUAAUUUCCUAGAAACCCAGGGAUGCAGUAAACCGGAUAGAAAUGGGGUUGGUCAGAAGACGGAAUUCAAGUAGUCUUCUCCUGGGUUCUGAGAAGAAGAUAAUGGCGAUGAUUAUAACCUUUGUGAAUCAAAUGGGUUAUAGUACGCCAUAAAAUUCACAUGCGGCUGCUUAACUGGAUUGGAAUCUCCAAAGGUCUGAUUAAGGACAACUCCACAUUGCUACCAUGGCAUCUGUGCAAGAUUGAUUCAGAUUGUUCUAGUGGUGGUUGUCAAUGUGGAGUUAAUCGGACAAGUUUUUCACCUGCUCUUUAUGAUGCUGAGAGAAUGCAAGUGGAGAACAAGGUGGUGAAUACAUGUAAUUGAGCAUUUGAAGACGUCGCUUAUAAUGCCGAACAUAUGCCAGGAGGAGAAUUGAAAUGAAAUGCAAAAGAAGAUUUCAAGACGUUGCUUAUGACGCAGAUAUCUCAAAACCAAUUUGUCUCGGUCUCAAGAUGGCUCAAGAGAUCAAUGAUCUCAACCAGAUUUGGGGUUUAAAACGCAAGGACAGUUUCAAGAUGGCUCAAGAAAUCAAUGUCUCAACCAGAUUAGUUUUUACAAGCUAUGGAAGAUCAAUGAUCUCAACCGGAUUAGUUUUUACAAGCUAUGGAAAAUCAAUGAUCUCAACCAGGUUUAAAAAGCAAGGAAAGGCUAAUAUACAUUCACUAAAGAAGCCGAUCAAAAAAAAAACAUUCACUAAAGAAUACAAAAAGGAGGAUGCAUUUAUUGUUGAAGCUGGCAUCCCUUUUACUUUUGAUGUUUCAAUUUUUAGUUGUAGAAGUGUAUUCUGGAAUAAUAAAAUGAAUGUGUUUUUUUCUUCUGACGAAAUCAUUUUGGCACUUUUUCUGUUCAUUUACUUAUGAAUGGUUGGAUAUAUUGUGUUAUCUACCUCUGAAGAUACUCAUUUGGGAGGAGACGACUUCAACAAGGUUGGUGCAGGCUUUCUUCAUCAUAAGUGUUAUUAGUGUAAAAUUAUUGUGCAGGUUGUGUUUACUUAGUGUGAAUUUCCAGUGGACAGAGAAUUGUUGGUCGGCUUGCCGCCAGCUUUAAGAGAGACAAGGGUAUCGAUCUUGACCAACUGGAAGUACCAGUUGAGAACUCUUUGAAAGAUGCAAAGCUCGGGUUCAUGGACUUGGAUGAGGUGAUCCUUGUUGGUGGGUCCACACGUAUCCCAGCUGUUCUGGAGCUUGUUAAAUCAUUAAUGGUAAAGACCCAAGUGUUACACAGUAAAUCCUGAUGAAGUCUGGUAAAGACCCAAAUGUUACCCAGUAAAUCCUGAUGAAGUUGUUGCUCUUGGUGCUGCAGUUCAGGCUGGUGUGCUCUCUGGAUGCACUAGUGAUGUUUAGAAGAGUUGGGAUUUUACAAGGAACUAAACUGGUGAAAUGGCUCCUGGGAUUGGUGAUCAUACACCUGCAUCUUUCUCACAAUCUACUGAGUAUUGGUUGUUCUAGCCUGUGAGUUUCGCCUUCUGGUUAUGAUGGAAACUCAAGUCUACCGAUGCGAUUUUUUGCAUCAGAAUGUGCGUUCGGAACCAGUUGAUGAGCUGUAUUCAGGAUAUGCAGUUUGCUGGCCUGUCCUAAUCUAUAGCUGACGAACUCAUUUUGGCAUCUUUUCUGUUCAUUUUACUUAUAGAAGGGGUGGGUGUGGUUUGUAUUUGAGGUUUUAUCGGAGGCACUAGUGAUGUUUAAAAGAGUCGGUUUUAUAUUGAGGAACCAUAAACAAAGAGGUCCUCGGAGGGCUUUGUGGAACUUCAGUAGAACUGGUACAUUGUGCAGGUACCAAAUUCAUCCUCCGGUUCUUUUAAGAACUCAUAGAAAUCCAUGUGUUGGUUCAUAGAAUCAAGCAAUGUCAUUCAACAACUGAAAGCUCCAGUAAUGCAUUUUGAGUAAAAUUUCGUUUAA